Molecule: non-coding RNA, 449 nt
Organism: Camellia sinensis
Lineage: Eukaryota; Viridiplantae; Streptophyta; Magnoliopsida; Ericales; Theaceae
Source: RefSeq, a predicted model, not a curated record
UUUCAGGUAUACAACCUAAGCCGGAAGUGCUUAGUAUGCAGGUUUCCUGCAGUACGAGGGGUGUGGUAUCCUGAGUUUUUUUUGUUGUAGGAGCUGCUGCAAAGGUGGUUGGGUGUGCUGGUGCUGUUCAUCUGCUUAAUGUUUGAAUAUAUGGCAGUAUGCAUGGUGGCUGGGUUUGGGUAGAAGGCUAUAGGAGGAUGCUCUCUAGUUCUAGGUGGUAGGGUGGGUUGGUGGCUCUGUUUGGCACUAUUAUUGGGAGUGGGUUGGGAGUUUUUUUUAUAAUAUUGGGGUUGCUGCUUUGGUUUUGUAAGUUUACUUUUAUUUGUUUUGUUUCCUCUCUUGUUCCGUUGAUCCUCAUCGACCUGUGAUGGUGUGCUAGCAUAUGAUUGUGCGUCAUUUUCGGUACCAAUUUAAUUAGGAUCAUUUAAGCCGCUUUGAUACUCUUUGCA